CCUACGGGAGGCUGCAGUGGGGAAUAUUGGACAAUGGGGGCAACCCUGAUCCAGCCAUGCCGCGUGUGUGAAGAAGGCCCUCGGGUUGUAAAGCACUUUCAGUGAGGAAGAACGCCUGGUGGUUAAUACCCAUCAGGAAAGACAUCACUCACAGAAGAAGCACCGGCUAACUCCGUGCCAGCAGCCGCGGUAAUACGGAGGGUGCGAGCGUUAAUCGGAAUUACUGGGCGUAAAGCGCGCGUAGGUGGCUUGAUAAGCCGGUUGUGAAAGCCCCGGGCUCAACCUGGGAACGGCAUCCGGAACUGUCAAGCUAGAGUGCAGGAGGGGAAGGUAGAAUUCCCGGUGUAGCGGUGAAAUGCGUAGAGAUCGGGAGGAAUACCAGUGGCGAAGGCGGCCUUCUGGACUGACACUGACACUGAGGUGCGAAAGCGUGGGUAGCAAACAGGAUUAGAUACCCUAGUAGUC
This 465-nucleotide ribosomal RNA is filed under the name Vreelandella stevensii. RNAcentral's name for it is "partial 16S ribosomal RNA". It matches the Rfam family "Bacterial small subunit ribosomal RNA", at positions 338 to 795 of the family's 1533-position model. Lineage: Bacteria; Pseudomonadati; Pseudomonadota; Gammaproteobacteria; Oceanospirillales; Halomonadaceae. The record is from RNAcentral.